AGGCUACACUAGAGUUAGUCCUCGGCUCAGAAGAAGGGACUGGCUCCCGGAUGUUAGCGGCGGACGGGUGAGUAACACGUGGGUAACCUGCCUGUAAGACUGGGAUAACUCCGGGAAACCGGAGCUAAUACCGGAUAGUUCCUUGAACCGCAUGGUUCAAGGAUGAAAGACGGUUUCGGCUGUCACUUACAGAUGGACCCGCGGCGCAUUAGCUAGUUGGUGAGGUAACGGCUCACCAAGGCGACGAUGCGUAGCCGACCUGAGAGGGUGAUCGGCCACACUGGGACUGAGACACGGCCCAGACUCCUACGGGAGGCAGCAGUAGGGAAUCUUCCGCAAUGGACGAAAGUCUGACGGAGCAACGCCGCGUGAGUGAUGAAGGUUUUCGGAUCGUAAAGCUCUGUUGUUAGGGAAGAACAAGUGCAAGAGUAACUGCUUGCACCUUGACGGUACCUAACCAGAAAGCCGCGGCUAACUACGUGCCAGCAGCCGCGGUAAUACGUAGGUGGCAAGCGUUGUCCACAAUUAUUUCGCGUAAAGGUCUCGGGGGCGGGGUUCAUUACAGUUAGCAAUGUGAGGGGCCCCCGGGCUGGCGCCGCGAGGGUCAUUGGUGGAGCUGGGGAAGCUUGGGGGUGCAAAAGAGG
RNAcentral lists this ribosomal RNA (644 nucleotides) under Bacillus altitudinis. Its description in RNAcentral is "bacterial SSU rRNA". It matches the Rfam family "Bacterial small subunit ribosomal RNA", at positions 64 to 659 of the family's 1533-position model. Lineage: Bacteria; Bacillati; Bacillota; Bacilli; Caryophanales; Bacillaceae. The record is from RNAcentral.